GCCUUUAUAGCUCAGUGGUAGAGCGCAGCACUUGUAAGAUUUGUUACAAGUCCAUGCUGAGGUCCAUCGUUCAAUCCGGUGUGGAGGCA
This 89-nucleotide transfer RNA is filed under the name Annulohypoxylon maeteangense. Its description in RNAcentral is "tRNA-Thr". It matches the Rfam family "tRNA". Rfam says of the family: Transfer RNA (tRNA) molecules are approximately 80 nucleotides in length. The record is from RNAcentral. Lineage: Eukaryota; Fungi; Ascomycota; Sordariomycetes; Xylariales; Hypoxylaceae.